GAGAACGACUGUGCCACGUUGAAUACACCAGUUUUCGUCAGAUCGACGUCGGGCGUGGUCAGUGCUCGGAUGGGUGACCAUCUGGGAGAUCACGUGUUGUUGGUU
Molecule: ribosomal RNA, 105 nt
Filed under: Olea europaea subsp. europaea
Lineage: Eukaryota; Viridiplantae; Streptophyta; Magnoliopsida; Lamiales; Oleaceae
Source: RNAcentral